This 23-nucleotide microRNA is filed under the name Apis mellifera (honey bee). RNAcentral describes it as "ame-miR-3749 (Mir3749)". The record is from RNAcentral. Lineage: Eukaryota; Metazoa; Arthropoda; Insecta; Hymenoptera; Apidae.
GGAAUGGCCCUUUCACCUUCCCU